GGAAAAGAGUACACUUCGAGUGAAUUUGAUAAAUUCUAUGAGGAAGCAGGAAUUGAGCAUCAACUUUCAGUGCCUUACUCACCACAACAGAAUGGAGUUUCUGAGAGGAAGAACAUAACAGUUGUUGAGAUGGCUAGGUGUAUGCUGAAAGAGAAAGAGCUACCAAAGAUGUUUUGGGCUGAGGCUGUUUACACAGCUGUGUACUUUUUGAACAGACUUCCUACUAGAGCAGUGGAAAGAAAAACUCCAGUUGAAGCAUGGCUUGGAUCAAAGCCUUCUGCAAGUCACUUAAAGGUCUUUGGAUCAAUAUGCUACAUGCUUGUUCCUGAUGUUAAGAGAAUCAAGCUGGAUGAUAAAGCAGAAUUGGGCAUCUUUCUGGGUUAUGCAGCCACAUCCAAGGGUUACAGAAUUUACAAUGUGAAAACAAAGAAGGUGGUUGUUAGUAGAGAUGUCAAAUUUGAUGAAGGAGCCUACUGGGACUUUGAAAAAGAGCAGGUUGUUGGAGUAACAAAUUCAGUUCAGCAAAGAGUUGAUUUAGAAAGUUCUAGCAAUGAAUGUGUUGAGUCUGAAAAAGACUACAACUCUGAUGGUGAAGCACAUGUUCCUAAGUUCAAGUCUCUUUCAGAGAUUUAUGAAAGUUGUAAUUUAGUUGUGUCAAAACCUAACAGCUAUGAAGAAGCUUCACAAGUUGAAGAAUGGCAACAUGCUAUGAAGGAAGAAAUUGCAGCAAUUGAGAAGAAUGGAACUUGGUAAUUGACUUCCAAACCAAAAGGAAAAAAUGUAAUUGGUGUAAAAUGGGUUUACAGAACUAAAGUUAAUCCUGAUGGUUCUAUUUUUAGAUAUAAAGCUAGACUUGUUGUUAAGGGUUAUGCUCAACAACCAGGGGUGGAUUAUGGAGAUACAUUUGCUCCAGUUGCUAGGCAUGAUACUGUUAAAUUAUUGUUGUCUUUAGCAGCUCAAAGAGAAUGGCAAGUGUUUCACUUAGAUGUCAAAUCUGCAUUUUUGAAUGGUUUGUUAACUGAAGAAAUUUAUGUGCAGCAACCUGAAGGAUUUGAGGUGCAAGGUCAAGAAGACAAAGUGUAUAAGCUGAAAAAGGCUCUUUAUGGCCUGAAGCAAGCUCCUAAAGCUUGGUACACAAGGAUUGACUCACAUUUGAUCCAAAAUGGAUUCAAGAGGAGUGAGAAUGAACCAACCUUGUAUGUGAGUGGUGAUGGAGAUGACUUUCAACUAAUAGUGUCACUAUAUGUUGAUGAUAUAUUAGUGACAAGUGGAAAUUUUCAGUUAUUGAAUGAUUUUAAACUGAAAAUGCAAACUGAGUUUGAAAUGUCUGAUUUGGGGAGUAUGAGUUACUUUCUUGGUCUAGAAAUUGAGCAAGUUACUGAAGGAAUCUUUGUCUCUCAAAGAAAUUAUGCUCUUGAAAUAUUGAAAAGGUUCAAUAUGGAUAAAUGCAAAUCUGUUGCAAUUCCUCUAGUUGUGAAUGAGAAACUUAGCAAGGAAGAUGGAGCUGAGAAAGCAGAUGCUUCAAUGUAUAGAAGUUUAGUUGGUAGUCUGCUAUACUUGACUGCAUCAAGACCUCAUUUAAUGUAUUCAACUAGCUUAUUAUCCAGAUUUAUGCAUUCACCAAGUCAAGUGCAUUUAGUUGCUGCUAAGAGAGUGUUGAGAUACUUGAAAGGUACUGCUGAUUAUGGUAUAUGGUUUCUAAAAGGAAGAUCUGUCAAACUUGAAGGCUAUGUGGAUAGUGAUUGGGCUAGGUGUGUUGAUGAUUCAAAGAGCACAUCAGGCAAUGUUUUUUUUCUGGGUUCAGGUCCUUUCUCUUGGAAUUCUAAGAAACAAGAGGUGGUGGCUCAAUCUACUGCAAAAGCUGAAUAUAUUUCAGCUGCUGCUGCUGCUGCUGCAAACCAAUCAAUUUGGCUUAGGAAGCUGUUGAAAGAUUUGGGAAUAGAGCAAUGUGAGCCUACGGUUAUUUGGUGUGAUAACAAAUUUGCAAUUGCCAUUGCAAAUAAUCCUGUUCAGCAUGGAAGAACUAAGCACAUCAAGGUGAAGUUUCAUUUCCUGAAGGAGGUUGAAAAGAAUUCAGAGAUUAAGCUGCUGCAUUGUAGGUCUGAGGAACAACUUGCUGAUAUACUUACUAAAGCUUUGACCAAGAAUAGGUUUGAAGAGCUGAGGAAAAAGCUUGGAGUAUCAAGGAAAAAUCUCAAGGAGGAGUGUUGACUGAAAUGUGAUUUUUUC
This 2229-nucleotide unclassified non-coding RNA is filed under the name Hevea brasiliensis (rubber tree). The record is from RNAcentral. Lineage: Eukaryota; Viridiplantae; Streptophyta; Magnoliopsida; Malpighiales; Euphorbiaceae.